This 345-nucleotide unclassified non-coding RNA is filed under the name Saccharomyces cerevisiae (brewer's yeast). The record is from RNAcentral. Lineage: Eukaryota; Fungi; Ascomycota; Saccharomycetes; Saccharomycetales; Saccharomycetaceae.
UAGGAAAGUCAUAAAUAUAUAAAUUAUAUUAUAUAAUUAAUAUAAUAAUAAAAUAAAUUAUAUAUUUUAUUUAUAAUAUUAUUUCUUUAUAAGAUAAAUAUUAUCUAAUAAUAUUUAUAAAGAAAUAUAUAUAUAUAUAAAAAGUCAUUAUAUAAAUUUAAUUAUAAUUUAAAUAAAUUUUAUAUAAAUUAAUAUAAUAUUAAUAAAGUAAUUAGUAUAAAUAAAUAAUAUGAAAAUAAAACUUAAUAAAUAUAUAAAUAUAGUCCAUAUAUAUAUAUUAAUAAAAAAAAGUAAUAUAUAUAUAUAUAUUGGAAUAGUUAUAUUAUUAUACAGAAAUAUGCUUAA